RNAcentral lists this long non-coding RNA (1061 nucleotides) under Chloebia gouldiae (Gouldian finch). RNAcentral's name for it is "Erythrura gouldiae (Gouldian finch) lncRNA (ENSEGOG00005013117.1)". Lineage: Eukaryota; Metazoa; Chordata; Aves; Passeriformes; Passeridae. The record is from RNAcentral.
GAUUGGCGCAGCCCUGCCGGGGAGCGAGGCGGGGAGAGGGCGGGCGGGGGCCGGGCACGGCAGCGCGGGGAGAGGGGGCGCGGGCAGCCCGGCUCCCGCCCCACGCGUGACUCAGCACGGCCCCACGGGGCUGGAGUGGGGCGGCACAGCCCUCGGGGCAGGCCCAAAGAGGACACCUUAUUUGAACCACAGAAAACAGCCUAAAUAAGGAAAAUGGGAAGCAUUUCCAACUGUUGCCUCUUGCGGACUGGCUGGGGCAUAUCACGGGGAUGAGACAAGGAAAAGGGUUUCUAACCAAAAGGAACAGGAGCCAAGUGCUGCCUUUAAAGCCAGGAGAGGAGUGGGUUGGCCCCAGGCAGUUCCUUGCUGGCUUGCUGGUGGAUCAGGCAGAGCAUCAGCAGUAGGUGCUGCUGCUCUCAGCAGGAGGACUCGGUCCCAGUGGAGGGGUGGGGACUCCAGCCCCCGUGUGCCUGAUUCCGAGGUGGGGCUGCUGCGUGCAGCUGUAAGACAGAACCUCGAACAGCCAGAGACAGAUGGGCUUCCCGCAGGUGAUGGGAACCACAGCAAGGUUUCAGAAGGGUUUCCUGGCCGCGCUGUCCACCCGCCACGUGUUGUGCUGUCACUGGAUCUCCGUGCUCCAAAGCUGCUUAGUCCGACCCGAGUGGAACUGCACUAAACCCGUCAGGAGAUGGAUGCUUUGUUCCAGGGAAGGAAGCUGUUGGUCUCUGCAGGGCAGAACCUCAAUCCAAGGCACUAUGGGGGCCGCCCUGCACCUGCUGAUCUGCAGGGCUUGGGCAUUGAUUCAGCACCCGCACCCAGCACAGCCCACUCUGCUGCUGCAGAAAGCUCAGUCUUGGGCCUGGAAGACAUUUUCAUAGCCUAUGAAUUCUUUAAACCUAAAGGCUGAUGAUAUGUGAGCCCCUUGCAUGUGUGCUGGGGCAGAGCAGGUCCUGGGCUGUGGCCGAGUGCUGCUCUGCUCACACCGGGUUUGUGUGGCUGGGAACAGCCACAGGUACUGAGUGAGCACAACUGGGAGACACAACUGGGCACUGACUGGUUAG